UCUGUAUUCAGGUCCUGUGUGGGAGCUGGCGUGUCGCACUGACUGCCACGUCCAUUCGGAUCUACUGUGUACACUGAAGACUGAGCUGCUUCCAUCCCCUGAGUGACAGAUUAAUUGAUGACUUCAUGAAUUCAUUAUUACCAUCUCCUAUAAACACGCACGACACCAGACCUAAUAUACACACAGUGAUGGGAAGAAGAAGGCUCAAAGGGAAAGACUCCAGUUCCUUCUAAAAAUUCUGGAGAAAUUCUGCUUUCCUCCCCAUUGCAACUGAUGAACAUCCACCAACAACCAAGCAAAGUUUUAUUCUUUAAUGUCAGAAGAGUCAUGGCAGUUUUUCCACUAAACACAUCCUUUGAAUAUGAAGUUAAAAUCAGAGUUGGUUAGCUUUUGUUAGCGGAAAGAUCUGAAGCAAGAGGAAACAUGGUGGCCUGGCUCUUUGCAAGAAUAACACAACCCACCUACCAGCACCCCUACAGCUCUCUAAUUAACACAUUGUGGUUUUACAGAGAGGAUCAGCCACAACAUUAAACCUACUGAAAGGUGACGUGUGUAAUCAUUAGGUCACAAUGCAAUGCCCUCCUGGGAAACUGAGUCCUUGCAUUCUUGGGAUGUUACUUUGAAACCCAUCUGAAGACCAAGAAUACCCCAACAUGGCAACAAUAUUCUCCUCACUACACCUAAAAAACUGCUCAGGAGCAACUCAGGGAACAUGGCAAAGAGCCUAAGGCCUUUAUCCAACCUCCUAAAGCCCGAGAUCCCAAUCUGAUGGACGUGUCAGAACGAGCCCAACCCAUGGAAGCCCCACCAAGCAACCCAAACAACCCAGAGGAUCUGCCUAAGUCCCACUGCCAGACACCACUGGACACCCCAAGAGGUCCUGUGUACAUAAUCAAUGAUUAAAAGCUGUUUUAAGCAGUCGAAAUGGGACCUACACAAUACUAAGCAGGGGGUUUUAAUGUUGUGGCUGAUGGAAAUAGCUUAGCUUAGCAUUUAUCCCACGUACCAGCACCAGUCUCUGUUCAAUAAAGCGUAUUUCUCAAACGUCAGACUGUUCCCUCAACUCUCUAUUGUGCUGUGCUGUCCACCGU
Long non-coding RNA from Amphiprion ocellaris (clown anemonefish), 1091 nucleotides. The record is from Ensembl. NCBI's taxonomy places the organism in Eukaryota, Metazoa, Chordata, Actinopteri, Pomacentridae.